Gadus morhua (Atlantic cod) is the source of this 1041-nucleotide long non-coding RNA. The record is from Ensembl. NCBI's taxonomy places the organism in Eukaryota, Metazoa, Chordata, Actinopteri, Gadiformes, Gadidae.
AUGUUUUUCUUCUACUGCACACAGACUCACGAACGCACUCAAGCACACGCACACAGAGUAAUGUACACACUGAUAUAUUCAUACUGCGUGGCUGUCAUUCACAGUCCAGACUCCCUACGGUCUGCAGAAUCCCUCCCCGUCUUGAAGAAACACCUGAAGACCUCUACUGAGAACACCUCAGGCACCUACCAAAUCUUCUCUUCCUGGUCUCCCUCCGGUCCAAAGACGUGUCCCCAGGUUCCUCAGAGAGUCCAGGGUCCGGUUCAGAGAUGGUAGCCAUGGUUCCUCCCUGACAGCUUCAGAUACGUCUGCUCUCAGGAGUCGGCUCUGCUAUAUCAGCUGGAAAAAACACGUCGCAUGUUUUAAUUCUGAGCAGUCGUCAGCCUGCAAUCUGAUAUCAUCAGUGUCAGGAAGUGACAGUGGUGACACUCUUAUCAGAGUGAAGACACUCUUAUCAGAUGUCUUCAGUUGACACACAGACUCACGGACGCAUGCAAACACAAACAAGAUUAUUUUUAAUAUAAAGACACAACAUACAUAGGUAUCAGAGACGUGUAGUGAGGUCCGUGGCUGGUGAGGCACUGACCUUUUCAGAGUCAGAUUUACAAAUAUAUGAACCCAAUUGUUAUAUAGUAGAAAAGGCGAUUUCUCGUAGCACAGCCACACAGCCAGUCUUUCGGCGGUACCACUCUGUUUGAAAAGACCGCGUUACUUUCUGUCCCGUUGUUUGAAGCAACCCGUUACACAGGCAGAGAGGAGGGCACUCCAAAGGGUCAUAAAGACGGCCGAAAGGAUUACUGGGACCACACUUCCCUCCAUGGACUUUAUUUACAGUCAGCGCUGUCGGAAAAGGGCAGUGAGAAUCAUCAGAGACUCCCUCCACCCAGCUCACCCUCUACUCAAUGACUAACAUUGUAAAUACAGACUCAGACACAGUAGAGCGGACAGUGUCAUCACACACACAACAAGAUUCUUCAAUAGCUUCUUCCCUGCAACAGUGCGACUGAUGGCAUUAACAGAGAACAUCUGAAAAAUACAAUG